This 181-nucleotide ribosomal RNA is filed under the name uncultured bacterium. RNAcentral describes it as "partial 16S ribosomal RNA". It matches the Rfam family "Bacterial small subunit ribosomal RNA", at positions 1303 to 1500 of the family's 1533-position model. The record is from RNAcentral.
GGCUGAAACUCGCCUCUUUGAAGUCGGAAUCGCUAGUAAUCGCAGAUCAGCAUGUUGCGGUGAAUACGUUUCCUGGUCUUGUACACACCGCCCGUCAAACCAUGAGAGUCGCCAACACCCGAAGUCCGCUUUGCGGCCUAAGGUGGGGGAGAUGAUUGGGGUUAAGUCGUAACAAGGUACC